Molecule: non-coding RNA, 124 nt
Organism: Pelobates cultripes (western spadefoot toad)
Lineage: Eukaryota; Metazoa; Chordata; Amphibia; Anura; Pelobatidae
Source: the annotation of a GenBank genome assembly
GACUAGUGAUAGAGUGAGAGAGGGGGUGACUAGUGACAGAGUGAGGGAUGGGGUGACUAGUGACAGUCACCCCCUCUUUCACUCUGUCACUAGUCACCCCCUCUCUCACUCUGUCACCAGUCAU